This is a long non-coding RNA of Aedes aegypti (yellow fever mosquito), 1067 nucleotides long. RefSeq lists it as uncharacterized. NCBI's taxonomy places the organism in Eukaryota, Metazoa, Arthropoda, Insecta, Diptera, Culicidae. The transcript is spliced from 2 exons. The record is from RefSeq and is a predicted model, not a curated record.
GCGUGUUUUAUUUCUGUUUAUGUUUUGCUAGCAGAAACUAGAGUGAAAAGAAUCCGUUGUUAAUCCAGCGAUCUGAACGAAUCUUCAAAAUCUGUGCUUGAUCGUAAUCCAUUGCAGUCAUUUUCCGUUGACGAAGGGCCGGAAUGGAAGUUUCGGCAAGUUCCCGGACAGCAGAAGACGAACAUUUAUUCUCCAAUGUUCGCAAGGACUAGACUCAAGCCAGAACCAGGGAGAGAAGGCGAAUCAGACGAAUCCGAUGUUUUCUUCGGUUUUCAUUUCGACGCCCACAUCCGUAAGGAUGGUGAUUCGGGAGCAUGUUAGCGGUUAUCAGUAUAAUAGUGACAAAGUGCAAAAGAUUUUAAAAGUAGCGCAUGAAAAUCUACCAAGGGUUCAUUCACAAAUUGGUUGUUAAGAUGGUCGAAAUUGACAUAAGAGUUCGUAUCGACGAACAGAUGUGCAUUAUUUGAUUGUAACUUAUCAAAUAAACUGUUAGGUGAAUAAAACUCAGUUUGUUUACAUUUGUCAGUUGGGCCGUUGUUCUAGUAUUGUAUUGAAUUUUUAUUGUAGAAAAAAAGCUUUUUUACGCGGAAAUGGAAACGCAGCCAUAUAACCAGUUUUUGUUGGACCAACCUAUGUCACCAUAGGAAAAAAUAAGAUCUAUAUGGAUCAAUAUAAGAGUUGGACCAUUCUAAUUUUCAAAAAUACCAAGCAAGGGCCUUGCUAACACAAACAACUCUGGAGAAGACCGUUUUCAUCUAAUGUUUCCCGUCGAAAAUUGAAGAUUUGAAGCUUGCUGUGUGUAGUGAAUCUCGCCUCUUUGCAUGCAAGUGAAACUUGAAGCUUGCUUGGCGCUUAAGCGAAGUAGUUAAUCCAACCGAUUAAGGUUCGAAUCCAGUAAUUCGUUACAAAUGUAUAACAAAAGGUUGAAUUACAAAAGGUCGAAUGAACAAAAGGUCGAAAAGAAAAAAAAGGUCGAAUGGACAAAACGUCGAAAGACAAGAUGUCGGUACAUAUUUAGAUUUUUCACGGAGAACUCAAUGCCCUUAUUAAUGAUAAUUGAUUUUUUU